RNAcentral lists this ribosomal RNA (253 nucleotides) under uncultured bacterium. RNAcentral describes it as "partial 16S ribosomal RNA". It matches the Rfam family "Bacterial small subunit ribosomal RNA", at positions 524 to 776 of the family's 1533-position model. The record is from RNAcentral.
UACGAAGGGAGCUAGCGUUGUUCGGAAUUACUGGGCGUAAAGGGCGCGUAGGCGGGUUUCCAAGUCGGGGGUGAAAUUCCGGGGCUCAACCCUGGGACGGCCUUCGAUACUGGGAGCCUGGAGAUCGGGAGAGGUGAGUGGAAUUCCGAGUGUAGAGGUGAAAUUCGUAGAUAUUAGGAAGAACACCGGUGGCGAAGGCGGCCCACUGGUCCGGUACUGACGCUGAGGUGCGAAAGCGUGGGGAGCAAACAGG